RNAcentral lists this long non-coding RNA (1062 nucleotides) under Pollicipes pollicipes. RNAcentral describes it as "uncharacterized LOC119095463". Lineage: Eukaryota; Metazoa; Arthropoda; Thecostraca; Pollicipedomorpha; Pollicipedidae. The record is from RNAcentral.
CGUCUACUUUGUAGUUCAAAUGUCACGGAAUGUUUGGCGAAUUCUGUAAUACCUGUCGGGUGAAUGUAUUAUGAAUCUUUCCCAUACCAUGUGGAUGUAAUUAAGCAUUGCCAACAUGAAGCAUGUGUAAAAAGUGUUAAAACCACUCCAACAUCAUUUCCGUAACCGUUCUUAUGUGUCAAGUAUCCAGGUCAUGAGGCAGCGGACGUCUAAUAAGUAGCCGAAAGGAAAUAUGGCUGGAAAAAGAUCGCAAUUUCGAAAUGGAUGUUGCUCGGAAUUUGUUUAUCACAUCUGCCGUCUGCUCUUUGUGGGAUUUUGCUUAGGUGUAGUGCUAUUGGCAACUAAUCGGUCUGCCAAAGAAUACGCACGAAGUCAAGAUUUAGACGUCCUCGUCCCAUCCGGCCUAUGGAGCUUCGGAGACCUUGACGUAACACUAUGUCCCUUGCCGACACUGAACGCCAUAGCGGGCCUCCACAUAGGGAACAGCUACCGGAAGUUUUCGAGAUUCAAGGAGGCACAACUGUUUGAAGGAUCAGCCAAGUACAGUCAGUUCAACGCAGUGUUUCAGGAAAUGAAUGCAUGUCUACAUCGGAGCAAGUUCGCGAGGGUGUCGGAUGAUCUUCUAUACAAAAUAGACCGAGCACAAAGUGUGGGAUGUAUUCCGAACAUGACAACGGCUUUAGCCAAAGCGCACAACCAAACAGAAAAAGAAUAUCUCAAGCAUGCUGUCUUGUCACACUCAUAUGAGUUAUUUACCAAGCACUUUGGAACCAAAUACGGAACAUUUCUUGACUACUCCCCGGACACUUUUCAAGGCAUUGGUUACUUAAAAUCAGACAACAUAACGUUGGAGAACUUCUUAGACAUGAUGGCCAUCAAUGCUGUAGAUUAUGUGAAGAUAAGGCCCCCCUUCAGCAGCGGCAGCAAUCAGAAGGAUGGCGAAACUAUACGCCGGAAUGAUGACGCUGCUACCGUAUCCAAUCGAUUUGCUCCGAAGUGUGCAAGGUAUCAGUUAAACUUCAGCAGGGGAGCUGCACCCCAACGACGUCAAAUUAUGUUCGA